RNAcentral lists this long non-coding RNA (359 nucleotides) under Anas platyrhynchos platyrhynchos (common mallard). RNAcentral describes it as "lncRNA (ENSAPLG00000021582.1)". The record is from RNAcentral. Lineage: Eukaryota; Metazoa; Chordata; Aves; Anseriformes; Anatidae.
CUGACUGAAAGGUCUUUUAGGAAGCCACAGAGAUAUCUGGCUGCCUGGAGGGGGGCAGGAAGGUCUUGGUGCCCGGUUUGAUAGAGUUUUGCAGAAGAAUGUGUGAGUCUGUGUGUUGUUCAUGCAGACAGUUUCAGCAUUCAGCUCCGUAUUUCAUGCAAAUCUGUUCCUACAAGCAAGCUUACCAAUGCACUGCAGAUCUGUCCUGUCAUGCACAGAGUCCCAUGAGUGCCACUUUAAUGAUCCAGGUGUAUACACAUCAUCCUCCAAGCAAGUCAGUUUAUUUAAUUUCCUUCUCCUCUGAAGAGCAGUUUCACCUCAAUGGUCCAGUUUCUGAAACAAGACGUCUUGCCCAAUAG